AGUGAACGCUGGCGGUAGGCCUAACACAUGCAAGUCGAACGGCAGCACACUACGAGCUUGCUCUUACGGGUGGCGAGUGGCGGACGGGUGAGGAAUACAUCGGACUCUACUUUUUCGUGGGGGAUAACGUAGGGAAACUUACGCUAAUACCGCAUACGCCCUACGGGUGAAAGCAGGGGAUCUUCGGACCUUGCGCGAUUGAAUGAGCCGAUGUCGGAGUAGCUAGUUGGCGGGGUAAAGGCCCACCAAGGCGACGAUCCGCUGCUGGUCUGAGAGGCUGGUCGGCGACAUUGGAACGUGAACAGGGUCCAGGGUCCUACGGGAGGGACCAGUGUGGAAUGGUGGGCAAUGGGGGCAAGCCUUGUCCAGCCGGAGCGAGUGGGUGGAGAAGGCGCUCGGGUUGGAAAGCCCUUUUGUUGGUAGAGAAAAGCAUCAGGUUAAUACGCCGCUGUUCUGACGGUACCGAAAGAAGAAGCACCGGCUAACUUCGUG
RNAcentral lists this ribosomal RNA (492 nucleotides) under uncultured bacterium. Its description in RNAcentral is "partial 16S ribosomal RNA". It matches the Rfam family "Bacterial small subunit ribosomal RNA", at positions 30 to 507 of the family's 1533-position model. The record is from RNAcentral.